RNAcentral lists this ribosomal RNA (493 nucleotides) under uncultured bacterium. RNAcentral's name for it is "bacterial SSU rRNA". It matches the Rfam family "Bacterial small subunit ribosomal RNA", at positions 30 to 516 of the family's 1533-position model. The record is from RNAcentral.
AUUGAACGCUGGCGGCAUGCCUUACACAUGCAAGUCGAACGGUAACAGGGACUUCGGUCCGCUGACGAGUGGCGAACGGGUGAGUAACGCAUCGGAACGUGCCCAGUCGUGGGGGAUAACGCAGCGAAAGCUGUGCUAAUACCGCAUACGAUCUGCGGAUGAAAGCGGGGGACCUUAGGGCCUCGCGCGAUUGGAGCGGCCGAUGUCAGAUUAGGUAGUUGGUGAGGUAAAGGCUCACCAAGCCAACGAUCUGUAGCUGGUCUGAGAGGACGACCAGCCACACUGGAACUGAGACACGGUCCAGACUCCUACGGGAGGCAGCAGUGGGGAAUUUUGGACAAUGGACGAAAGUCUGAUCCAGCCAUUCCGCGUGCAGGAUGAAGGCCCUCGGGUUGUAAACUGCUUUUGUACGGAACGAAAAGGUUUCUCUUAAUACGAGGAGCUCAUGACGGUACCGUAAGAAUAAGCACCGGCUAACUACGUGCCAGCAGCC